CGUACACUCCUACGGGAGGCAGCAGUGGGGAAUAUUACACAAUGGGCGCAAGCCUGAUGCAGCCAUGCCGCGUGUAUGAAGAAGGCCUUCGGGUUGUAAAGUACUUUCAGCGGGGAGGAAGGCGAUAAGGUUAAUAACCUUGUUGAUUGACGUUACCCGCAGAAGAAGCACCGGCUAACUCCGUGCCAGCAGCCGCGGUAAUACGGAGGGUGCAAGCGUUAAUCGGAAUUACUGGGCGUAAAGCGCACGCAGGCGGUCUGUCAAGUCGGAUGUGAAAUCCCCGGGCUCAACCUGGGAACUGCAUUCGAAACUGGCAGGCUAGAGUCUUGUAGAGGGGGGUAGAAUUCCAGGUGUAGCGGUGAAAUGCGUAGAGAUCUGGAGGAAUACCGGUGGCGAAGGCGGCCCCCUGGACAAAGACUGACGCUCAGGUGCGAAAGCGUGGGGAGCAAACAGGAUUAGAAACCCGAGUAGUCCCAUGA
Molecule: ribosomal RNA, 479 nt
Filed under: uncultured organism
Description: partial 16S ribosomal RNA
Rfam family: Bacterial small subunit ribosomal RNA
Source: RNAcentral